Molecule: non-coding RNA, 222 nt
Organism: Pelobates cultripes (western spadefoot toad)
Lineage: Eukaryota; Metazoa; Chordata; Amphibia; Anura; Pelobatidae
Source: the annotation of a GenBank genome assembly
UUUUUUAAAUUACACUUCUUACACAAAACAUUUCCUGUAUUUGCAAGUGUGGGAACGCAGUACAGUAAAAUUUGAACAGAUCAUGAGAUCUACAGUUUGACAGCACAGCUCUCCUUAGAGACUAUAAAGCCAAACGUACACUGUAUAUUCUCAUAGUGAAAAGAGAAUUAGAAGUAUUCCCAAUAUGACUAUAGUGAAACAUUACAAAAUACUCAAACUCAU